AGUGUUUUUGAGUGUUGAUCAGAGAGAGAAAGGAGAUGGCACAAUACGGUAACCAAGACCAAAUGCGCCAGACUGAUGAAUAUGGAAACCGCGUCCAAGAAACUGGGGGCAUGGGAACUGGAGGCUAUGGAACUCACCAAGGUACUGGUAUGGGGGGCAUGGGUGCCACUGGUGGUAUGGGAGACACUGGUGGAAUGGGGGCCAUGGGUGGAGGUACUGGCACUGGAAUGGGUAUGGGCACUGGUGGAACUCACGGCACUGGUACGGGCAUGGGUAUGGGUAUGGGUACUGGUCACCAUGAGGGACAACAGCAGCUUCGUCGAUCCGACAGCUCUAGCUCU
This 341-nucleotide long non-coding RNA is filed under the name Capsicum annuum. RNAcentral's name for it is "long non-coding RNA (CANN_LNC003666)". Lineage: Eukaryota; Viridiplantae; Streptophyta; Magnoliopsida; Solanales; Solanaceae. The record is from RNAcentral.